GUAGGGAAUAUUGGGCAAUGGACGCAAGUCUGACCCAGCCAUGCCGCGUGCAGGAUGAAGGCCUUCUGGGUUGUAAACUGCUUUUAUCUGGGAAGAAAAAACUCUUGCGAGAGGAACUGACGGUACCAGAUGAAUAAGCACCGGCUAACUCCGUGCCAGCAGCCGCGGUAAUACGGAGGGUGCAAGCGUUGUCCGGAUUUAUUGGGUUUAAAGGGUGCGUAGGCGGCCCGGUAAGUCAGUGGUGAAAGCCCAUCGCUCAACGAUGGAACUGCCAUUGAUACUGCCGGGCUUGAGUACAGACGAGGUAGGCGGAAUUGAUAGUGUAGCGGUGAAAUGCAUAGAUACUAUCAAGAACACCGAUUGCGUAGGCAGCUUACUAGGCUGUAACUGACGCUGAGGCACGAAAGCGUGGGGAGCGAACAGGAUUAGAUACCCUGGUAGUCCACGCUGUAAACGAUGAUUACUCGAUGUUGGCGAUACACAGUCAGCGUCUUAGCGAAAGCGUUAAGUAAUCCACCUGGGGAGUACGCCCGCAAGGG
RNAcentral lists this ribosomal RNA (539 nucleotides) under uncultured Adhaeribacter sp. Its description in RNAcentral is "bacterial SSU rRNA". It matches the Rfam family "Bacterial small subunit ribosomal RNA", at positions 354 to 894 of the family's 1533-position model. The record is from RNAcentral. Lineage: Bacteria; Pseudomonadati; Bacteroidota; Cytophagia; Cytophagales; Hymenobacteraceae.